GAUGAACGCUGGCGGCGUGCCUAAUACAUGCAAGUCGAGCGAACGGACGAGAAGCUUGCUUCUCUGAUGUUAGCGGCGGACGGGUGAGUAACACGUGGAUAACCUACCUAUAAGACUGGGAUAACUUCGGGAAACCGGAGCUAAUACCGGAUAAUAUUUUGAACCGCAUGGUUCAAAAGUGAAAUACGGUCUUGCGGUCACUUAUAGAUGGAUCCCGGCUGCAUUAGCUGGUUGUUAAGGUAACGGCUUACCAAGGCAACUAUGCAUAGCCGACCUGAGAGGGUGAUCGGCCACACUGGAACUGAGCCACGGUCCAGACUCCUACGGGAGGCAGCAGUAGGGAAUCUUCCGCAAUGGGCGAAAGCCUGACGGAGCAACGCCGCGUGAGUGAUGAAGGUCUUCGGAUCGUAAAACUCUGUUAUUAGGGAAGAACAUAUGUGUAAGUAACUGUGCACAUCUUGACGGUACCUAAUCAGAAAGCCACGGCUAACUACGUG
Molecule: ribosomal RNA, 497 nt
Filed under: uncultured bacterium
Lineage: Bacteria
Description: partial 16S ribosomal RNA
Rfam family: Bacterial small subunit ribosomal RNA
Source: RNAcentral